UAACACAUGCAAGUCGAGCGGUAGCAGGUCCUUCGGGAUGCUGACGAGCGGCGGACGGGUGAGUAAUGCAUAGGAAACUGCCCAGUAGUGGGGGAUAGCCCGGGGAAACCCGGAUUAAUACCGCGUACGCCCUUCGGGGGAAAGCAGGGGCUCUUCGGACCUUGCGCUAUUGGAUGUGCCUAUGUCGGAUUAGCUGGUUGGUGGGGUAAAGGCCUACCAAGGCGACGAUCCGUAGCUGGUCUGAGAGGAUGAUCAGCCACAUCGGGACUGAGACACGGCCCGAACUCCUACGGGAGGCAGCAGUGGGGAAUAUUGGACAAUGGGGGCAACCCUGAUCCAGCCAUGCCGCGUGUGUGAAGAAGGCUUUCGGGUUGUAAAGCACUUUCAGUGGGGAGGAAGGCUCAAAGGUUAAUACCCUUUGGGAUUGACGUUACUCACAGAAGAAGCACCGGCUAACUCCGUGCCAGCAGCCGCGGUAAUAAGGGCGAAUUC
This 492-nucleotide ribosomal RNA is filed under the name uncultured Gammaproteobacteria bacterium. RNAcentral's name for it is "bacterial SSU rRNA". It matches the Rfam family "Bacterial small subunit ribosomal RNA", at positions 49 to 536 of the family's 1533-position model. The record is from RNAcentral. Lineage: Bacteria; Pseudomonadati; Pseudomonadota; Gammaproteobacteria.